CCUACGGGGGGCAGCAGUGAGGAAUAUUGGUCAAUGGACGAGAGUCUGAACCAGCCAAGUAGCGUGAAGGAUGACUGCCCUAUGGGUUGUAAACUUCUUUUAUAUGGGAAUAAAAUGUUCCACGUGUGGGAUUUUGUAUGUACCAUAUGAAUAAGGAUCGGCUAACUCCGUGCCAGCAGCCGCGGUAAUACGGAGGAUCCGAGCGUUAUCCGGAUUUAUUGGGUUUAAAGGGAGCGUAGGUGGAUUGUUAAGUCAGUUGUGAAAGUUUGCGGCUCAACCGUAAAAUUGCAGUUGAAACUGGCAGUCUAGAGAGCAGUAGAGGUAGGCGGAAUUCGUGGUGUAGCGGUGAAAUGCUUAGAUAUCACGAAGAACUCCGAUUGCGAAGGCAGCUCACUGGACUGCAACUGACACUGAGGCUCGAAAGUGUGGGUAUCAAACAGGAUUAGAUACCCUAGUAGUC
Molecule: ribosomal RNA, 460 nt
Filed under: uncultured bacterium
Lineage: Bacteria
Description: partial 16S ribosomal RNA
Rfam family: Bacterial small subunit ribosomal RNA
Source: RNAcentral